GUAGCCUUUGAGAGUGAAACGCUUGGGUCUACAUAGAGAAACCAUUGUUCAAUUAGAUAACAAAGACUGGCCACCCUGAUUAAUCAAUUGAAAAUAAGGCCACAAACGGAACAGGAAACGCCGAGUCAUUUUUCGUACCGUGGAAAUCCGCUCAGCAGCAACACGGAUCGCACUUUUUUCCCCCGACUAAAAGAAGCCUCUAAGGGGGUGCGGAACCAGAAAAAAGCCGUGAAAAAUGGUUCGUGUCAAGAACGUGAGCAUACGGCAGAUAUUAAUUAGCCUCUUAGAUUUCAAGAACUCUCUCUCUCUGUGAACGCGGACAGAUGAAAAAAAAACGAGUGCAUUUCUUUCAUUCUACGUAUGUACGUAACUACAUGUAGUGUAUGUACGUAUGUAGACAACCGGGUGGGAUUGUGGUGGUGUUGGCUGGCUCUUCAUUAAAAGCGAGUAAGAUGGAUGGAUGGAUGGAUGGAUGGACGAAUGGAAAAAUGUGUUCUCACCUAGUUCAGUGCAGAUAUCGAUGACAGCGUUGAAGGUCCGGAUAGAGAAAUCCACAUUGCAAUCGAUGUAUCGCAGAUCCGGCAAUUGAAUUCGAACCAUUUUGUGCAUGGGUGUGAAAUGAAUGAUGGCAUCUGCCGUCAAAUUAUACUGGUCCAAAGUGAGCCGAG
Molecule: long non-coding RNA, 668 nt
Organism: Tigriopus californicus
Lineage: Eukaryota; Metazoa; Arthropoda; Copepoda; Harpacticoida; Harpacticidae
Exons: 2
Source: RefSeq, a predicted model, not a curated record